AGCAGCCGCGGUAAUUCCAGCUCCAAUAGCGUAUAUUAAAGUUGUUGCAGUUAAAAAGCUCGUAGUUGAAUUUCGGGGUCAGCAGGUCGGUCGUGCCUACGGUAUGCACUGGCCUUGCUGAUUCCUCCCUCUUGAUGAGCCGUAAUGUCAUUAAUUUGGUGUUGCGGGGAAUCAGGACUGUUACUUUGAAAAAUUAGUGUGUUUAAAGCAGGCAAGCGCUUGAAUACAUUAGCAUGGAAUAAUGAAAUAGGACGUUCGAUCCUAUUUUGUUGGUUUCUAGGAUUGACGUAAUGAUUAAUAGGGAUAGUUGGGGGCAUUAGUAUUCAAUUGUCAGAGGUGAAAUUCUUGGAUUUAUUGAAGACUAACUACUGCGAAAGCAUUUGCCAAGGAUGUUUUCAUUAAUCAAGAACGAAAGUUAGGGGAUCGAAGACGAUCAGAUACCGUCGUAGUCUU
RNAcentral lists this small RNA (453 nucleotides) under uncultured Glomus. RNAcentral describes it as "SSU rRNA". It matches the Rfam family "Eukaryotic small subunit ribosomal RNA", at positions 569 to 1027 of the family's 1831-position model. Lineage: Eukaryota; Fungi; Glomeromycota; Glomeromycetes; Glomerales; Glomeraceae. The record is from RNAcentral.